GACGAACGCUGGCGGCGUGCUUAACACAUGCAAGUCGAACGGAAAGGCCCUGCUUUUGUGGGGUGCUCGAGUGGCGAACGGGUGAGUAACACGUGAGUAACCUGCCCUUGACUUUGGGAUAACUUCAGGAAACUGGGGCUAAUACCGGAUAGGAGCUCCUGCUGCAUGGUGGGGGUUGGAAAGUUUCGGCGGUUGGGGAUGGACUCGCGGCUUAUCAGCUUGUUGGUGGGGGAGUGGCUGACCAAGGCUUUGACGGGUAGCCGGCCUGAGAGGGUGACCGGCCACAUUGCGACUGAGAUACGGCCCAGACUCCUACGGGAGGCAGCAGUGGGGAAUCUUGCACAAUGGGCGGAAGCCUGAUGCAGCAACGCCGCGUGCGGGAUGACGGCCUUCGGGUUGUAAACCGCUUUCGCCUGUGACGAAGCGUGAGUGACGGUAAUGGGUAAAGAAGCACCGGCUAACUACGUG
RNAcentral lists this ribosomal RNA (468 nucleotides) under uncultured bacterium. Its description in RNAcentral is "partial 16S ribosomal RNA". It matches the Rfam family "Bacterial small subunit ribosomal RNA", at positions 28 to 507 of the family's 1533-position model. The record is from RNAcentral.